CUGUAGCCAGUGAAGGCAACAGAGUUCCUUUCCUUUCCUCACGGGGCCCAGGGUGCAAUGCCGGCAAGCAGCAGUCUCCUUAGGAGUGUUACAACCUGCUGCCUGCACAGGUUGCUCUAGGGGACCUUGGAGACUCAU
The sequence is a small nucleolar RNA, 138 nucleotides long. Its record names the gene SNORA70. It matches the Rfam family "Small nucleolar RNA SNORA70". From Rfam's summary of the family: snoRNA U70 seems to be exclusive to mammals and is a member of the H/ACA class of snoRNA which contain H (ANANNA) and ACA box motifs. H/ACA box snoRNAs are involved in the conversion of uridines to pseudouridines (5-ribosyluracil) a constituent of structural RNAs (transfer, ribosomal, small nuclear, and small nucleolar). The record is from Ensembl.